This 491-nucleotide ribosomal RNA is filed under the name uncultured bacterium. RNAcentral's name for it is "partial 16S ribosomal RNA". It matches the Rfam family "Bacterial small subunit ribosomal RNA", at positions 29 to 506 of the family's 1533-position model. The record is from RNAcentral.
AGUGAACGCUGGCGGUAGGCCUAACACAUGCAAGUCGAACGGCAGCACAGUAAGAGCUUGCUCUUACGGGUGGCGAGUGGCGGACGGGUGAGGAAUACAUCGGAAUCUACUUUUUCGUGGGGGAUAACGUAGGGAAACUUACGCUAAUACCGCAUACGACCUACGGGUGAAAGCAGGGGAUCUUCGGACCUUGCGCGAUUGAAUGAGCCGAUGUCGGAUUAGCUAGUUGGCGGGGUAAAGGCCCACCAAGGCGACGAUCCGUAGCUGGUCUGAGAGGAUGACAGGCCACAUGGGAACUGGAAAACGUCCCAGAUCCCACGGGAGGGCAGCGGGGGGAAAUUUUGGACAAGGGGGGAAAGCCUGUUCCAGCCAAACGGCGUGGGUGAAGAAGGCCUUCGGGUUGUAAAGCCCUUUUGUGGGGAAAGAAAAGAAGCAGGUUAAUACCCCGCUGUUCUGACGGUACCAAAAGAAUAAGCACCGGCUAACUUCGU